CUCCUCCUUCUCUCUAGUUCCGGCCGCCAAGCCUCCUCCUCCCUCGUUCCCUCCUCCCAAUCUCCUCCUCCUUCUCUCUGCUUCUGGCCGCCAAGCCUCGCCGCCGGCCCGAGCCCGACCUGCAGCCGCACGCCUCGCCACCGCCGCCGGCCCGAGCCUGACCUACCGCCGCCAAGCCCCGCUGCCGCCUGCCCGCGCCCGACCUGCCGCCAUCCCGCGAGCCCCGCGCCUGGAGGAGCCGCCCUGCGGCGCUUUGAGGCUGCCCGCGCCCAGAUCCGGCCUGCGCCGACCCACCCGCCGCGGAUCCGUCCUCCCUCUCUCCCGCCGGUAAGUCUUCCUCUCUCCAUUCGCUCUCACGCUCUCUCUCUCUCUCUCUACUGCAGCCAUGGAGCUCGACCUCAGACCUCCCUCGGCCGCCAUGGAUCCCCAGGACG
Molecule: long non-coding RNA, 434 nt
Filed under: Brachypodium distachyon (stiff brome)
Lineage: Eukaryota; Viridiplantae; Streptophyta; Magnoliopsida; Poales; Poaceae
Description: long non-coding RNA (BDIS_LNC005071)
Source: RNAcentral